AAGAAGGACGACAAGACCCUAUGAAGCUUUAUCUUAAUUGGAGCUCUCAGGCUCUUAUACGAUUUUGAUGGGAGAUCAGUAGAAAGAAGUCUUCUACUAUCAUAUUAAUCUUACUAGUAUUUCCUAACUUUAUAUGUGUGGCUAGCUACUCUAGGGAUAACAGCGCAAUUUCUCCCGAAAGAUGGUAUUGGAGGGGAAGAUUGCGACCUCGAUGUUGGCUUUAGAUAUCCUAGAGGCGUAGAAGCUUCUGAUGGUGGGUCUGUUCGCCCUUUAAAAUCUAACAUGAGCUGAGUUCAGAACGGCGUGAGCUAGUUCAGUUUCUAUCCUCUU
Molecule: ribosomal RNA, 330 nt
Filed under: Mytilus galloprovincialis (Mediterranean mussel)
Lineage: Eukaryota; Metazoa; Mollusca; Bivalvia; Mytilida; Mytilidae
Rfam family: Bacterial large subunit ribosomal RNA
Source: RNAcentral